This 468-nucleotide ribosomal RNA is filed under the name uncultured bacterium. Its description in RNAcentral is "partial 16S ribosomal RNA". It matches the Rfam family "Bacterial small subunit ribosomal RNA", at positions 28 to 507 of the family's 1533-position model. The record is from RNAcentral.
GACGAACGCUGGCGGCGUGCUUAACACAUGCAAGUCGAACGGAAAGGCCCUGCUUUUGUGGGUUGCUCGAUUGGCGAACGGGUGUGUAACACGUGAGUAACCUGCCCUUGACUUUGUGAUAACUUCAGGAAACUGGGGCUAUUACCGGAUAGGAUCUCCUGCUGCACGGUGGGGGUUGGAAAGUUUCGGCGGUUGUGGAUGGACUCGCGGCUUAUCAGCUUGUUGGUGGGGUAGUGGCUUACCAAGGCUUUGACGGGUAGCCGGCCUGAGAGGGUGGACGGCGACAAGGGGCCUGCGAUACGGCCCAGACUGCAACGGGAGGCAGCGGGGGGGAAUAUGACGCAGUGGGCGGGAGCCUGAGGCAGCAGCGCCGCGUGCGGGAUGACGGCCUUCGGGUGGUAAACCGCUUUGGCCUGUGACGAAGAGUGAGUGACGGUAAUGGGUAAGGAAGCACCGGCUAACUACGUG